This 394-nucleotide ribosomal RNA is filed under the name uncultured Gammaproteobacteria bacterium. RNAcentral's name for it is "bacterial SSU rRNA". It matches the Rfam family "Bacterial small subunit ribosomal RNA", at positions 100 to 486 of the family's 1533-position model. Lineage: Bacteria; Pseudomonadati; Pseudomonadota; Gammaproteobacteria. The record is from RNAcentral.
GGACGGGUGAGUAACGCGUAGGAAUCUACCGAGUAGUGGGGGACAACAGUUGGAAACGACUGCUAAUACCGCAUAAUCCCUGAGGGGGAAAGGAGGGGAUCUGUUUACAGACCUUUCGCUAUUUGAUGAGCCUGCGUGAGAUUAGCUAGUUGGUGAGGUAAUGGCUCACCAAGGCGACGAUCUCUAGCUGGUCUGAGAGGAUGAUCAGCCACACUGGAACUGAGACACGGUCCAGACUCCUACGGGAGGCAGCAGUGGGGAAUAUUGCACAAUGGGGGAAACCCUGAUGCAGCCAUGCCGCGUGUGUGAAGAAGGCCUUCGGGUUGUAAAGCACUUUCAGCGAGGAGGAAAGGAGUAUGUUUAAUAAACGUGCUCUGUGACGUUACUCGCAGAA